UAGGCUUGACGUCGAAUCCCCACACAAUCGUACCUGUAUUGGGUCUGUAGCUCAGUUGGUUAGAGCGCACCCCUGAUAAGGGUGAGGUCGGAAGUUCAACUCUUCCCAGACCCACCACCUCACUUCGGGGCCAUAGCUCAGCUGGGAGAGCACCGGCUUUGCAAGCCGGGGGUCGGCGGUUCGAUCCCGCCUGGCUCCACCACCCAAUCACUCAGGUUUGUUCAUUAUUUCAUUAACACUAUAGUGGACAAACCUGAGUGUAUUACCACUCAGACGCUCUUUAACAAAUCAGAUAGUAUAGAUUGCACUGCAUACAGCAUUCAUAUAAGCAAAGCAUUAUUGUUUUGUUUAUCGCUUAAUCGAGAAUCAGAACCCCAGACGUUUUGGGGUUAUAUGGUCAAGUGACUAAGCGCAAACGGUGGAUGCCUUGGC
RNAcentral lists this transfer RNA (432 nucleotides) under uncultured bacterium. Its description in RNAcentral is "partial 16S-23S ribosomal RNA intergenic spacer". The stretch from base 41 to 114 matches the Rfam family "tRNA". The record is from RNAcentral.